RNAcentral lists this RNase P RNA (490 nucleotides) under Deltaproteobacteria bacterium. RNAcentral's name for it is "RNase P RNA component class A". It matches the Rfam family "Bacterial RNase P class A". From Rfam's summary of the family: Ribonuclease P (RNase P) is a ubiquitous endoribonuclease, found in archaea, bacteria and eukarya as well as chloroplasts and mitochondria. Lineage: Bacteria; Pseudomonadati; Myxococcota; Myxococcia. The record is from RNAcentral.
AGAGAAGAUCAAACGGUCGCGUGUCCACGGACACGAGGAAAGUCCGGACUCCACGGGGCAGGGUGGCCGUUAACGGCGGCUCGUCGCGAGACGGGGAAAGUGCCACAGAAAAGAGACCGCCGGCAUCCGCAUUCGAGACAACAGCGAGAUCUGCCUGAGACCACGGCUGGAGACUGACAUGAGGCGCUCCCUUUUAUUCGUGUCUCCAGUGGCGCGCUCGGCUUGCUCGCUCGCGCGGGGUCGAUGCCGGUAAGGGUGAAACGGUGAGGUAAGAGCUCACCAGAUUCCGUGGAAACGCGGGAUGCUGGGUAAACCCCACCCGGAGCAAGACCAAAUAGGAGGGAGCCCGGUUCGCGGGCAAGAGCCGCCCCGCUUGAUCCCUCCGGGUUCGUCGCUCGAACCUCUCGGUAACGAGAGGUCCAGAAGAAUGGCCGUUGUCUCUUCCUAUUACGAAGAGAAACAGAAUCCGGCUUAUCGAUCUUCUCUCACU